AUGGCCAGCGGACGCGGAUCUUUCUUCUUUGCUGGAUCUAUGCGGGGGCUUCUAUGUCCUUCAUGUGUUGAUUUUUUUCCUCGAUCCACAUGCUUCUGGAUUUUCAAUCCCUUCCCAAGCAUGGAGAUGGAAGAUCUUCUUGAGUUUGACUCCAAAUCCUUGACCCGGGCAAAUGUUGUUGAGAAUUUUAUCCAUCGUUGGCUUCCUGCCUCCAAGUUGUAUAAAAGCCAUACUUCCUGCCUUGCUCUUUCUUUACAUGUGAAGAAUAUAGAGGAUUACAAUGUCGAGGGGGACUCGUUGAGUCAAGGAAACUCGGGGAGUUAUGAUGCUGAUGGAGGUGAUCGCAAUGGUAAGGGACCGUUUGGAUCCUCUCUGGCUCUGUGUUUCACCAGCUCCGCACGUGGAGCGAUGCCGAAUGGCCCACCUCCGCGAAGCCAGCCCUCCUGCAGUGCAAUUUCGUGGAGCAGCGGAAGCAUAGCUCCUCCAAACGAUGAAGCAGGAGUUGCAUGA
This 510-nucleotide ribosomal RNA is filed under the name Triticum aestivum (bread wheat). RNAcentral describes it as "partial small subunit ribosomal RNA". The record is from RNAcentral. Lineage: Eukaryota; Viridiplantae; Streptophyta; Magnoliopsida; Poales; Poaceae.